AUACAUAUGCUAAAGUUUCUUAGUGUUUUUAUUGGCAGUCUGAACUGAUAUUGGGGACUUCAAAGCUUGCAAUUAUGCCCUAUAUAUGUACCUGGACAAGACCUCCAAUUCGUGACCUCCAACCAAUUCAGUGAGCUAUGUCAGAAAUGAAUAUGAGUGAGGAGUGUUAGAUGGACUGAAGAAUUAUCUAUUGGCUGAUUUAGCAUUCGUUUAAUGUACAACAUGGGCACUCGAGUUGUGUUUUCCUGUAAAUAUGGAC
This is a long non-coding RNA of Lolium rigidum, 259 nucleotides long. RefSeq lists it as uncharacterized. Lineage: Eukaryota; Viridiplantae; Streptophyta; Magnoliopsida; Poales; Poaceae. The transcript is spliced from 3 exons. The record is from RefSeq and is a predicted model, not a curated record.